Molecule: long non-coding RNA, 139 nt
Filed under: Marmota monax (woodchuck)
Lineage: Eukaryota; Metazoa; Chordata; Mammalia; Rodentia; Sciuridae
Rfam family: Deleted in lymphocytic leukemia 2 conserved region 6
Source: RNAcentral
AAGCUUCGCGGAUUGUCUUUUGCUCCAAGUUAUUUUUGGUGUUUUUUUUUUUUAGUGGUUUUUCAGCGGAGCGCCAGUGGCACUAUACUCUCAGACAGGUUAUCCCGUCUCUCCCGCUAGAUUGAUGAGAUCAGGCAUC